UACGUAGGGGACAAGCGUUGUCCGGAAUCAUUGGGCGUAAAGAGCGCGUAGGCGGUCCGGUAAGUCCGCUCUGAAAGUCCGGGGCUCAACCCCGGGAGGCGGGCGGAUACUGUCGGGCUAGAGUCCGGAAGAGGCGAGUGGAAUUCCUGGUGUAGCGGUGAAAUGCGCAGAUAUCAGGAGGAACACCAAUGGCGAAGGCAGCUCGCUGGGACGGUACUGACGCUGAGGCGCGAAAGCGUGGGGAGCGAACAGG
This 253-nucleotide ribosomal RNA is filed under the name uncultured bacterium. Its description in RNAcentral is "partial 16S ribosomal RNA". It matches the Rfam family "Bacterial small subunit ribosomal RNA", at positions 524 to 776 of the family's 1533-position model. The record is from RNAcentral.